RNAcentral lists this ribosomal RNA (253 nucleotides) under uncultured microorganism. RNAcentral describes it as "partial 16S ribosomal RNA". It matches the Rfam family "Bacterial small subunit ribosomal RNA", at positions 524 to 776 of the family's 1533-position model. The record is from RNAcentral.
UACGUAGGGUGCGAGCGUUAAUCGGAUUUACUGGGCGUAAAGCGUGCGCAGGCGGCCCGUUAAGACAGGUGUGAAAUCCCUGGGCUCAACCUAGGAAUUGCGCUUGUGACUGGCGGGCUCGAGUACGGUAGAGGGGGGUGGAAUUCCUGGUGUAGCAGUAAAAUGCGUAGAGAUCAGGAGGAACACCGAUGGCGAAGGCAGCCCCCUGGGCCUGUACUGACGCUCAUGCACGAAAGCGUGGGGAGCAAACAGG